RNAcentral lists this ribosomal RNA (576 nucleotides) under uncultured Gemmatimonadota bacterium. RNAcentral describes it as "SSU rRNA". It matches the Rfam family "Bacterial small subunit ribosomal RNA", at positions 341 to 915 of the family's 1533-position model. The record is from RNAcentral. Lineage: Bacteria; Pseudomonadati; Gemmatimonadota.
ACGGGAGGCAGCAGUGGGGGAAUCUUGCGCAAUGGCCUAACGGCUGACGCAGCGACGCCGCGUGAGGGAUGACGCUCUUCGGAGUGUAAACCUCUUUUGCCCGGAACGAAUUGCCACCAUCAGGUGGCUUGACGGUACCGGUUGAAUAAGCACCGGCUAACUCCGUGCCAGCAGCCGCGGUAAUACGGGGGGUGCGAGCGUUGUCCGGAAUCACUGGGCGUAAAGGGCGCGUAGGUGGCGUGAUAAGGGUGUGGUGAAAGCCCGGGGCUCAACCCCGGGUCUGCCAUGCCGACUGUCAGGCUCGAGUACUGUAGGGGCAGGCGGAAUUCCGGGUGUAGCGGUGGAAUGCGUAGAGAUCCGGAGGAAGACCGGUGGCGAAGGCGGCCUGCUGGGCAGUUACUGACACUGAGGCGCGACAGCGUGGGGAGCAAACAGGAUUAGAUACCCUGGUAGUCCACGCCGUAAACGAUGGGUACUAGGUGCCUGGGGGAGCGACCCCUUGGGUGCCGGCGCUAACGCAGGAAGUACCCCGCCUGGGGAGUACGGCCGCAAGGCUGAAACUCAAAGGAAUUGACG